This 452-nucleotide ribosomal RNA is filed under the name Mogibacterium timidum. Its description in RNAcentral is "bacterial SSU rRNA". It matches the Rfam family "Bacterial small subunit ribosomal RNA", at positions 28 to 476 of the family's 1533-position model. The record is from RNAcentral. Lineage: Bacteria; Bacillati; Bacillota; Clostridia; Peptostreptococcales; Anaerovoracaceae.
GAUGAACGCGGCGGCGUGCCUAAUACAUGCAAGUCGAGCGAGAAGCUUGGAAAUGACGCUUCGGUUGAUUUUCCAAGCGGACAGCGGCGGACGGGUGAGUAACGCGUAGGCAACCUGCCCCUGACAGAGGGAUAGCCAUUGGAAACGAUGAUUAAAACCUCAUGACACCGUAGUAGCACAUGCUACAUCGGUCAAAGAUUUAUCGGUCAGGGAUGGGCCUGCGUCUGAUUAACUGGUUGGUGAGGUAACGGCUCACCAAGGUGACGAUCAGUAGCCGACCUGAGAGGGUGAUCGGCCACAUUGGAACUGAGACACGGUCCAAACUUCUACGGAAGGCAGCAGUAGGGAAUCUUGCACAAUGGGCGAAAGCCUGAUGCAGCAACGCCGCGUGAAGGAUGAAGGCCUUCGGGUUGUAAACUUUCUGUUCUAAAGGGAAGAAAAGAAAUGACGGA